ACUCCUACGGGAGGCAGCAGUGGGGAAUAUUGGACAAUGGGCGCAAGCCUGAUCCAGCCAUGCCGCGUGAGUGAUGAAGGCCCUAGGGUUGUAAAGCUCUUUCACCGGUGAAGAUAAUGACGGUAACCGGAGAAGAAGCCCCGGCUAACUUCGUGCCAGCAGCCGCGGUAAUACGAAGGGGGCUAGCGUUGUUCGGAUUUACUGGGCGUAAAGCGCACGUAGGCGGACUAUUAAGUCAGGGGUGAAAUCCCGGGGCUCAACCCCGGAACUGCCUUUGAUACUGGUAGUCUUGAGUUCGAGAGAGGUAAGUGGAAUUCCGAGUGUAGAGGUGAAAUUCGUAGAUAUUCGGAGGAACACCAGUGGCGAAGGCGGCUCACUGGCUCGAUACUGACGCUGAGGUGCGAAAGCGUGGGGAGCAAACAGGAUUAGAAACCCCGUAGUCCCA
Molecule: ribosomal RNA, 445 nt
Filed under: uncultured organism
Description: partial 16S ribosomal RNA
Rfam family: Bacterial small subunit ribosomal RNA
Source: RNAcentral